Molecule: long non-coding RNA, 394 nt
Organism: Bactrocera neohumeralis
Lineage: Eukaryota; Metazoa; Arthropoda; Insecta; Diptera; Tephritidae
Exons: 4
Source: RefSeq, a predicted model, not a curated record
UAAUAAUAUAAUUAUUAUAUAUACAAAUGAGUAACAUAUUCGAGACGCAAGAUGAAGGUGUAGAGAUUCCAAUCGUUGAGAGGAUUGAGCGGCGCCAAUACUCAGUGGGAAUAUCAAGAACGCAACAAAACUCAGAAUAUUCAGAAAAGGCUGGAAAAAUUGGAGGAAAAUGUAUUUAUAACUUUGCAGAACCAAAAAACGCUUAGUGAAGGCCAAUCGUCACUGGUUCACAACCAAACUGCAAUAUUUGAAAAACUGAAUGAGAUGGAGUCGAAAAUUGUCGAAAAGGCUGAGGUUUUGGCGCAAAAUAAGUCAAUCAGAGAAUGCAAAGUUCUCUUAAAACGAGUGGAGCAGUCAGUGUGCCGCAUGACCGGCGAAGUGAUUGACAAAGAGC